This 301-nucleotide ribosomal RNA is filed under the name uncultured bacterium. RNAcentral describes it as "partial 16S ribosomal RNA". It matches the Rfam family "Bacterial small subunit ribosomal RNA", at positions 509 to 808 of the family's 1533-position model. The record is from RNAcentral.
CAGUAGCCGCGGUAAUACGUAGGUCCCGAGCGUUGUCCGGAUUUAUUGGGCGUAAAGCGAGCGCAGGCGGUUAGAUAAGUCUGAAGUUAAAGGCUGUGGCUUAACCAUAGUACGCUUUGGAAACUGUUUAACUUGAGUGCAAGAGGGGAGAGUGGAAUUCCAUGUGUAGCGGUGAAAUGCGUAGAUAUAUGGAGGAACACCGGUGGCGAAAGCGGCUCUCUGGCUUGUAACUGACGCUGAGGCUCGAAAGCGAGGGGAGCAAACAGGAUUAGAUACCCGCGUAGUCCCUGUCUCUUAUACA